CUUUUUCGCAAUGGGCGAGCCUGACGGAGCACGCCGCGUGAGUGAUGAAGGUCUUCGGAUCGUAAAACUCUGUUAUUAGGGAAGAACAAAUGUGUAAGUAACUAUGCACGUCUUGACGGUACCUAAUCAGAAAGCCACGGCUAACUCCGUGCCAGCAGCCGCGGUAAU
RNAcentral lists this ribosomal RNA (168 nucleotides) under Staphylococcus epidermidis. Its description in RNAcentral is "partial 16S ribosomal RNA". It matches the Rfam family "Bacterial small subunit ribosomal RNA", at positions 359 to 524 of the family's 1533-position model. The record is from RNAcentral. Lineage: Bacteria; Bacillati; Bacillota; Bacilli; Caryophanales; Staphylococcaceae.